This 497-nucleotide ribosomal RNA is filed under the name uncultured bacterium. RNAcentral describes it as "partial 16S ribosomal RNA". It matches the Rfam family "Bacterial small subunit ribosomal RNA", at positions 28 to 507 of the family's 1533-position model. The record is from RNAcentral.
GACGAACGCUGGCGGCGUGCCUAAUACAUGCAAGUAGAACGCUGAAGAGAGGAGCUUGCUCUUCUUGGAUGAGUUGCGAACGGGUGAGUAACGCGUAGGUAACCUGCCUGGUAGCGGGGGAUAACUAUUGGAAACGAUAGCUAAUACCGCAUAAAAUUGAUUAUUGCAUGAUAAUUAAUUGAAAGAUGCAACUGCAUCACUACCAGAUGGACCUGCGUUGUAUUAGCUAGUUGGUGAGGUAACGGCUCACCAAGGCGACGAUACAUAGCCGACCUGAGAGGGUGAUCGGCCACACUGGGACUGAGACACGGCCCAGACUCCUACGGGAGGCAGCAGUAGGGAAGCUUCGGCAAUGGGGGGAACCCUGACCGAGCAACGCCGCGUGAGGGAAGAAGGGUUUCGGAUCGUAAAGCUCUGUUGUAAGAGAAGAACGGGUGUGAGAGUGGAAAGUUCACACUGUGACGGUAUCUUACCAGAAAGGGACGGCUAACUACGUG